Molecule: ribosomal RNA, 253 nt
Filed under: uncultured bacterium
Lineage: Bacteria
Description: partial 16S ribosomal RNA
Rfam family: Bacterial small subunit ribosomal RNA
Source: RNAcentral
GACGAACCGUGCGAACGUUGUUCGGAAUAACUGGGCUUAAAGGGCGCGUAGGCGGGUUCCUAAGUCUGGAGUGAAAGCCCGCGGCUCAACCGCGGAAGCGCUUCGGAUACUGGGGGCCUCGAGGGGGGUAGGGGCGCGCGGAACUUCCGGUGGAGCGGUGAAAUGCGUAGAUAUCGGAAGGAACACCGGUGGCGAAAGCGGCGCGCUGGACCCCCACUGACGCUGAUGCGCGAAAGCCAGGGGAGCAAACGGG